AUACGGAGGGUGCAAGCGUUAUUCGGAAUCACUGGGCGUAAAGGACGCGUAGGCGGGUUGGCAAGUCAGAUGUGAAAUCCUACAGCUUAACUGUAGAACUGCAUUUGAAACUGCUAACCUAGAGUAUGGGAGGGGGAGAUGGAAUUAGUGGUGUAGGGGUAAAAUCCGUACAUAUCACUAGGAAUACCGAAAGCGAAGGCGAUCUCCUGGAACAUAACUGACGCUAAGGCGUGAAAGCGUGGGGAGCAAACAGGAUUAGAAACCCUUGUAGUCC
This 274-nucleotide ribosomal RNA is filed under the name uncultured bacterium. Its description in RNAcentral is "partial 16S ribosomal RNA". It matches the Rfam family "Bacterial small subunit ribosomal RNA", at positions 523 to 796 of the family's 1533-position model. The record is from RNAcentral.